RNAcentral lists this ribosomal RNA (497 nucleotides) under uncultured bacterium. RNAcentral's name for it is "partial 16S ribosomal RNA". It matches the Rfam family "Bacterial small subunit ribosomal RNA", at positions 28 to 507 of the family's 1533-position model. The record is from RNAcentral.
GAUGAGCGCUGGCGGCGUGCCUAAUACAUGCAAGUCGAGCGAACGGACGAGAAGCUUGCUUCUCUGAUGUUAGCGGCGGACGGGUGAGUAACACGUGGAUAACCUACCUAUAAGACUGGGAUAACUUCGGGAAACCGGAGCUAAUACCGGAUGAUAUUUUGAACCGCAUGGUUCAAAAGUGAAAGACGGUCUUGCUGUCACUUAUAGAUGGAUCCGCGCUGCAUUAGCUAGUUGGUAAGGUAACGGCUUACCAAGGAAACGAUGCAUAGCCGACCUGAGAGGGUGAUCGGCCACACUGGAACUGAGACACGGUCCAGACUCCUACGGGAGGCAGCAGUAGGGAAUCUUCCGCAAUGGGCGAAAGCCUGACGGAGCAACGCCGCGUGAGUGAUGAAGGUCUUCGGAUCGUAAAACUCUGUUAUUAGGGAAGAACAUAUGUGUAAGUAACUGUGCACAUCUUGACGGUACCUAAUCAGAAAGCCACGGCUAACUACGUG